UUUUGCCACAGCCCUUUAUUUAUCAGUCAAGUCCAACUCUGUUCAGAGGCCACAGCAUCCCAGAGCUAUCUUAAAUUCUAUGAGUGCUCCUCUGCAAAAUCUUAAGUCCAAAGCCUUAAGAUCAAUAUUUGGAAUUAUGUGUCAAUUAAUAUUCACACCAUCUGGUCAAAGGAACUUCUUUUUCUCUGGACUCCAGUCCAAACUUCAAAUGAGCUAGACAUCACAUUCUGUAGAUCACUACCUAAACCUGAAAGCCCAUUUCUAGCCCCGCAUAAUCUUUCUUCAACUACUGAGUAAGGUUUUUGUAUUUUACUAUAGAACGACUGUAUGGUUUGUGAACUCUACCUUCAUAAAGCUGCUUAAAAGGGACACAAGUACUUGCUUUGCACACGAUAAUGAACAACUUUAAUGAACUAAAAAGCAUUAUAGAAAUAUACAUUUCUACAGAAAAGACUACAUUUGACAGCAGUGACAUGGCUCUACCUUCCUGGUACACCUGACCUAGAGAACGCUUUCAUCCUGGAUAUUUCUGCUCUGGCCAGCUGAGCAUACUUCCUCAGUUUUGCAAUAUACUCUGAAGGGGAGGGA
Molecule: long non-coding RNA, 588 nt
Organism: Mastomys coucha (southern multimammate mouse)
Lineage: Eukaryota; Metazoa; Chordata; Mammalia; Rodentia; Muridae
Exons: 3
Source: RefSeq, a predicted model, not a curated record